This 2737-nucleotide long non-coding RNA is filed under the name Prunus persica (peach). Its description in RNAcentral is "long non-coding RNA (PPER_LNC001010)". The record is from RNAcentral. Lineage: Eukaryota; Viridiplantae; Streptophyta; Magnoliopsida; Rosales; Rosaceae.
UCAUUUGGUGGGUUUUGAGUGAAAUCGAAUCUCUAGAACUAUACAACACACCAACCUCCCCAUUUCAGAACGAACUUCGUACGAACCUGAAUUGUCCGAUUUCAGGGACCAAUCGAUAUCGGAUUGAGGGGGGGAACUUGGGGAACAUCAUAAUAUUGUGGGAGGAGUCAUUUGGUGGGUUUUGAGUGAAAUCCAAUCUCUAGAAUUAUACAAUACACCAACCACCCCAUUUCAGAAUGAACUUUGUAGGAACCUGAAUUGUCCGAUUUCAAGGACCAAUCGAUAUCGGACUGAGUCCAAAACUUGGGGGAACAUCAUAAUAUUGUGGGAGGAGUCAUUUGGAAUGUUUUGAGUGAAAUACAAUCCCUAGAACUAUACAAUACACCAACCACUCCAUUUCAGAACGAACUUCGUACGAACCUGAAUUGUCAACUUUCGUGGACCGAUCGAUAUCGGAUUGAGUCCAAAACUUGGGGAACAUCAUAAUAUUUUGGGAGGAGUCAUUUGGUACAUUUUGAGUGAAAUCCAACCUCUAGAACUAUACAAUGCACCAACCACCCCAUUUCAGAACGAAUUUCGUAGGAAACUGAAUUGUCCGAUUUUAAGGACCAAUUGAUAUCGGAUUGAGUCCAAAACUUGGGGAACUGUCGUGGGAGGAGUCAUUUGGUGGGUUUUGAGUGAAAUCCAAUCUCUAGAACUAUACAAUACACCAAUCACCCCAUUUCAGAACGAACUUCGUACGAAUAUGAAUUGUCCGAUUUCAAGGACCAAUCGAUAUCGGACAGAGUCCAAAAGUUGGGGAACGUCAUAAUAUCGUGGGAGGAGUCAUUUGGUGGGUUUUGAGUGAACUCCAAUCUCUAGACCUAUACAAUACACCAACCUCCUCAUUUCAGAACGAACUUCGUUCGAACAUGAAUUGUCCGAUUUCAAGGACCAAUUGAUAUCGGACUUAGUCCAAAACUUGGGGAACAUCAUAAUCUUGUGGGAGGAGUCAUUUGGUGGUUUUGAGUGAAAUCCAAUCCCUAGAACUAUACAAUACACCAACCACCCCAUUUCAGAAUGAACUUUCGUAGGAACCUGAAUUGUCCGAUUUCAAGGACCAAUCGAUAUCGGACUGAGUCCAAAAGUUGUGGAACAUAAUAAUAUUGUGGCAGGAGUCAUUUGGUGGGUUUUGAGUGAAAUCCAAUCUUUAGAAUUAUACAAUACACCAACCACCCCAUUUCAGAAUGAACUUCGUAGGAACCUGAAUUGUCCGAUUUCAAGGACCAAUCUAUAUCGGACAGAGUCCGAAAGUUGGGGAACAUCAUAAUAUUGUGGGAGGAGUCAUUUGGUGGGUUUUGAGUGAAAUCCAAUCUCUAGACCUAUACAAUACACCAACCUCCUCAUUUCAGAACGAACUUCGUACGAACUUGAAUUGUCCGAUUUCAAGGACCAAUUGAUAUCGGAUUGAGUCCAAAACUUGGGGAACAACAUAAUCUUGUGGGAGGAGUCAUUUGGUGGGUUUUGAGUGAAAACCAAUCUCUAGAACUAGACAAUACACCAACCACCCCAUUUCAGAAUGAACUUUGUAGGAACCUGAAUUGUCCGAUUUCAAGGACCAAUCGAUAUCAGAUUGAGUCCAAAACUUCGGGAACAUCAUAAUAUUGUGGGACGAGUCAUUUGGUAAGUUUUGAGUGAAAUAGAAUCCAAAGAACCAUACAAUACACCACCCACUCCAUUUCAGAACGAACUUCGUACGAACCUGAAUUGUCAAAUUUCGUGGACCGAUCGAUAUCGGAUUGAGUCCAAAACUUGGGAAGCAUCGAAAUCUUGUGGGAGGAGACAUUUGGUGGGUUUUGAGUGAAAUCCAAUCUCUAGAACUAUACAAUACACCAACCACCCUAUUUCAGAACGAACUUCGUACGAACCUGAAUUGUUCGAUUUCGAGGACCAAUCGAUAUCGGAUUGAGUCCAAAACUUGGGGAACAUUAUAAUAUUGUGGGAGGAGUCAUUUGGUGGGUUUUGAGUGAAAUCCAAAAUCUAGAACAAUACAAUACCCCAACCACCCCAUUUCAGAACGAACUUUGUAGGAACCUGAAUUGUCCGAUUUCAAGGACCAAUCGAUAUCGGAUUGAGUUCAAAACUUGGGGAGGAUCAUAAUAUUGUGGGAGGAGUCAUUUGGUAAGUUUUGAGUGAAAUACAAUUCCCAGAACCAUACAAUACACCACCCACCCCAUUUAAGAAGGAACUUCGUACGAACCUGAAUUGUCAAAUUUCGUGGACCGAUCGAUAUCUGAUUGAGUCCAAAACUUGGGGAGCAACAUAAUCUUGUGGGAGGAGUCAUUUGGUGGGUUUUGAGUGAAAUUCAAUCUCUAGAGCUAUACAAUACACCAACCACCCCAUUUAAGAACGAACUUCGUACGAACCUGAAUUGUCCGAUUUCAAGGACCAAUCGAUAUCGGAUUGAGUCCAGAACUUGGGGAGUAACAUAAUCUUGUGGGAGGAGUCAUUUGGUGGGUUUUGAGUGAAAUCCAAUCUCUAGAACUAUACAAUACACCAACCACCCCAUUUCAAAACGAACUUCGUACGAACCUGAAUUGUCCGAUUUCAAGGACCAAUCGAUAUCGGAUUGAGUCCAAAACUUGGGGAACAUUAUAAUAUUGUGGGAGGAGUCAUUUGGUGGAUUUUGAGUGAAAUCCAAUCUCUAGAACUAUACAAUACCCCAACCACCCCAUUUCAGAAUGAACUUCGUAGGAAC